GUGGGGAAUAUUGCGCAAUGGGGGAAACCCUGACGCAGCGACGCCGUGUGAGGGAAGAAGGCUUUCGGGUCGUAAACCUCUGUCAGAAAGGAAGAACCUCCCAAGUCCGAAUAGGGCUUGGGACUGACGGUACUUUCAAAGGAAGCACCGGCUAACUCCGUGCCAGCAGCCGCGGUAAUACGGAGGGUGCAAGCGUUAAUCGGAAUCACUGGGCGUAAAGCGCGCGUAGGCCGCUUUGUAAGUCGGACGUGAAAGCCCUCGGCUCAACCGAGGGACUGCGUUCUAUAGUGCGAGGCUUGAGUCAUGGAGAGGGUGGCGGAAUUCCGGGUGUAGGAGUGAAAUCCGUAGAUAUCCGGAGGAACACCGGUGGCGAAGGCGGCCACCUGGACAGGUACUGACGCUGAGGCGCGAAAGCGUGGGGAGCAAACAGGAUUAGAAACCCGUGUAGUCC
This 451-nucleotide ribosomal RNA is filed under the name uncultured bacterium. RNAcentral describes it as "partial 16S ribosomal RNA". It matches the Rfam family "Bacterial small subunit ribosomal RNA", at positions 354 to 796 of the family's 1533-position model. The record is from RNAcentral.